GAUGAACGCUAGCGGCAGGCCUCAUACAUGCAAGUCGAGGGGCAGUGACUAUACUUUUAGUGUAGUCAGCGACCGGCGAACGGGUGCGUAACACGUAUAUAAUCUACCUUGUACAGGGGAAUAGCUUUUGGAAACGAAAAUUAAUACCCCAUAUAAUCUUUUUAUCGCAUGAUAGUAAGAUGAAAGCUCAGGCGGUGCAAGAUGAGUAUGCGUCCUAUUAGCUAGUUGGUAAGGUAAUGGCUUACCAAGGCAAUGAUGGGUAGGGGGUUUGAGAGAAUGAUCCCCCACACUGGCACUGAGAUACGGGCCAGACUCCUACGGGAGGCAGCAGUAGGGAAUAUUGGUCAAUGGGCGCAAGCCUGAACCAGCUAUGCCGCGUGCAGGAUGAAAGCCCUAUGGGUUGUAAACUGCUUUUGUACGGGAGAAAUAGGUUUCUGAGGAAACUAAUGAUAGUACCGUAAGAAUAAGCACCGGCUAACUCCGUGCCAGCCGCCGCCGUAACAC
Molecule: ribosomal RNA, 504 nt
Filed under: uncultured bacterium
Lineage: Bacteria
Description: bacterial SSU rRNA
Rfam family: Bacterial small subunit ribosomal RNA
Source: RNAcentral